This 377-nucleotide ribosomal RNA is filed under the name uncultured eukaryote. Its description in RNAcentral is "partial 18S ribosomal RNA". It matches the Rfam family "Eukaryotic small subunit ribosomal RNA", at positions 592 to 976 of the family's 1831-position model. The record is from RNAcentral.
CAAUAGCGUAUAUUAAAGUUGUUGCAGUUAAAAAGCUCGUAGUUGGAUUUCGGGGUGGCCUGGCUGGUCCGCCGCAAGGUGAGUACUGGUCAGCCGCCCUUCCUCUCGAAAGCCCCGACUGCUCUUUACUGCAGUGGUCGGGUAGUUCGGGACGUUUACUUUGAAAAAAUUAGAGUGUUCAAGGCAGGCUAUCGCCUGAAUACAUUAGCAUGGAAUAAUGGAGGAGGACCUCGGUCCUAUUUUGUUGGUUUCUAGGGCCGAAGUAAUGAUUAAGAGGGACAGUUGGGGGCAUUCGUAUUUAAUUGUCAGAGGUGAAAUUCUUGGAUUUAUGAAAGACGAACUAGUGCGAAAGCAUUUGCCAAGGAUGUUUUCAUUAA